GCAAAGGCUUUGUCUGCUUUGUUUCUACCCAAAAUCUACAGCAGAUUUUGAAAAUCCAUGUUGCUUUGAAUCAAAGCAUUAUUUACAAUAUUUCCCAGCCCAACAAGGACCAGAAUCAUCUUGGUUGCACCAAUGACAUAACUAGACUGGCAGAAAUGAAGGCAGUUGCAGCAACAAGAUGUAAAGGCUGUGGGUCCAUUGGCAGUAAGAAAAGAGAUAAAAGGGUGAGAAGCUGGCUAACUUGGACAUUCUCUGAAGAUGCCAGCCACAGAUGCUGGCGAAAUGUCAGGAAGAAACUUUUCUGGAACAUGGCCACAUAGCCCGAAAAACUCACAAAAAACUUUGGACAAAUAAGCAUUAGUUGCAGUAACAACGGAGAGACAAUACACAGAACAUCCAGCUGCCCACAAAGAAAACUUAUACUGUAGUUACCAAGAUAGAGUCAAACUGAGCCUAGCAGAAUUUGCCCAUCACCAACGUCACAUACAGGGAAUU
Long non-coding RNA from Sceloporus undulatus (fence lizard), 495 nucleotides. RefSeq lists it as uncharacterized. The transcript has 3 exons. The record is from RefSeq and is a predicted model, not a curated record. Lineage: Eukaryota; Metazoa; Chordata; Lepidosauria; Squamata; Phrynosomatidae.